CAUACUAGCUCAGUGGUAGAGCACUUUCCUAAAGAGAAAGCGGUCACAGGUUCAAAUCCUGUUAUGA
This is a non-coding RNA of Cyanothece sp. PCC 7425, 67 nucleotides long. The record is from Rfam. NCBI's taxonomy places the organism in Bacteria, Bacillati, Cyanobacteriota, Cyanophyceae, Gomontiellales, Cyanothecaceae.